GAUACUAAGAUUGAACCAGACUGGAAAAGAGACCUUAAGGCUGAAGCCUGAAAAUAAACCUCAAGACUGAUCCAGAAUCAAAAGAAGACCUUGAAGCCCCUUCUAUACUGCCAUAUAAUCCAGAUUUUCAGCAAAUAAUCCACAUUAUCUGCUUUGAACUGCAUUAUAUGAGUCUACACUGCCAUAUAACCCAGUUCAAAGUAGAGAAUCUGGAUUUUAUAUGGCAGUGUAGAAGGGACCUAAAUUUAAUCCAGUCUGAUUUGGAGGGGGGGGGGGAGACCCUAAGACUGAAUCAGACGGAAAAAAUACCCUCAGGCUCCAUCUACACUUGCCAUAUAAUGUAGUUUGAAAGAGUGCAAAGUUUGAAUCUAUGAAUACAUUAUUUGAAUGCAUUUUUAUUAAUCUAAACUGACCAUAUAACGCUGUGUCAAACUGCAUUAUAGAGCAAUCUAGACUUAUUCAGGCGGGGGGGGGGGGACCCUAAGACUGAACCAGAUUGGGGAAAAAAACUUUUAAGGUUGAUCAAGAUUUUUUUUAAGUGAUCCUAAGACUGAACCAGUUUGAACAAAAGACCAUUAGUAUGAUCCAGACUAAAAAAGAGAUUAAAACUGAUGCAACUAAAAAAAAAAAAAGGACACUAAGAUGGAAUCAAACGGCUGCCAAAGGCGACCUGUCCAUUCUUGGGAAUUCCUGAGGUGGUGGGAGUAUUUGUGGUUUGUGGGGAUAGGGAGGUAAGAAGCUCCCUUUCGUCCCUGAUAUUUUAAGAGAUUGCUUUCCGACACACACCCAAGGACCCCUAGGUCUGCUCCUGCGUGGGUCUUGCAAGGUCCCUUCGUGUCUUUCACCUCCCACGACACCCCACGUCCCCUCACAAAUGAGCUGGGCGGGAGAAGAGCUUCCUCCCCAAAGCAGACUCCCGCAUCUCUGGCCAAAGCGAGGGCAACUUGGCGCCGCCAGCCGAGGCGUUCAGGGCGGGCGUUUUUCGACGGGGAAAGUCCGCUGAAGCGGAAAGGAACAAAAGCGAUUAAGGCGUGCUCCUCCCGGGCUCUGCCUCCUGUUUCCCUCGCCUCUCCUCCCUGACUCUCCUUCUUUAUUACUUUUUUAUAUAUCUCCAUUCCUUUCCCCCUUUCCUUUCUCCUUCUCUUCCCCCUUCCACCUCCCGUUCUCCCAUUUCCUCGCCCCUUUCUUUCUCUUCCCUUUCCUCUUUCUCCUUCCCCUUUCCUUUCCUCUUCCUUUACCCUUCUCUUCCCCUUUCCUCUUCUCCUUUCUCCCUCCUUUCCCCUUCCCCUUUUGUUUCCCCUUUUCCCUAUCCUCUCCCUUUGCCCUUCCCCCUUUCCUCUUCUCCUUUCUCACUUCCUCCUCUCCCUUUUCCCUUCUCUUUUGCUGUCCCCGAACUCCUUAUUCCAGUGGUUCUCAACCUGUGAGUCCCCAGGUGUUUUGGCCUACAACUCCCAGAAAUCCCAUCCAGUUUACCAGCUGUUAGGAUUUCUGGGAGUUGAAGGCCAAAACAUCUGGGGGCCCACAGGUUGAGAACCACUUCCUUAUUCGGUUCCUUGCUCUCCCUCUUUAAUUUCAACAGAAAGAAGGAAACCAUGAAAAUGAACAAAAUCUGGCUGCCAGUAUUUUAAAAGCUCUAAAACCAGGACAGUAAAUAAAGCACAACACUCUGAAAACAGGGAAAAUCCAGACAAGAAACAAUCAGGGCAAGCUAAUACUUGCCAACAAAGGAUUCCCUCAGGCAGGAAGCAUUCAGACUUUGAAUCUGCAAGGCCAUUACAUGCUAAUUAUGGUGGUCAGUUGCAACAUUCACACUUGCCUCCAACAGACGAGAGUUCUUUCUCCUACCCUGGACUUUUCACAGAUCUAUAAUCCCCACUGGCCUAGUUUCCAAUAGACAUCACAACCUCUGAGGAUGCGCGCCAUAGAUGCAGGAGAAACGUUAGGAGAGAAUGCUUCGGAACAUGGCCAUAUAGCCUGGAAAACUCACAGCAACCCAGUGAUUUCGGCCAUGAAAGCCUUGGGCAACACGUCUCCCUCUUUAGUUUCGCUUUUCUUCCUCUUUUUUACUCCUUCUUUUUCCCUUCCUCAUUCAUCUCCUCUCUUCCUGUACUUGUUAUUUACAUUCCCCCUUUCCCUUCUUGCUCUUCUUUCUUCACUUUCCAAUCCAGACCCAACAACCUUCUCUGGCUCCAAAGCCUAGGAAGGAAAGUCAGAAGGAAAGAAGGCCUUGAAAAACCUUCAUUCUCGAACAAGCCAUUCGGGCCCAGGAGGAAACUGUUGUUCUACACAUUAAAGGAAAUUCUAGAUUUUGGAAAUGAUAGGAACAGGGUGGAAUGGCGGGGAGUUAAUGGCCCUGUGUUGGGACGAAGGGAAUAAACUUCCAGAAAAGUUGUAGGAGAGGGGGGAUGAGGAAACCGAGAGGCCACAGUUUCUCCAAGGACUUCCUAAAUUGUGUUGAGGAAGGCUUUCAUGGCCGGAAUCAAUGGGGCUCCUUCCACACAGCUGAAUAAAAUCCCACAUUUUCUGCUUUGAACUGGAAUAUAUGGCAGUGUGGACACAAAUAACCCAGUUCAAAGCAAAUAUUGGAGGGUUUUCUGCCUUGAUACUCUGGGUUAUAUGGCUGUGUGGAAAGACCCUGGGUUGUUAUGCGUUUUCCCAGGCUGUAUGGCCAUGUUCCAGAACCAUUCUCUCCUGACGUUUCGCCCACAUCUAUGGCAGGCAUCCUCAUAGAUGUGGGCGAAACGUCAGGAGAGAAUGCUUCUGGAACAUAGCCAUACAGCCUGGAAAACUCACAGCAACCUUUCCUAAGUUGUUGCCCACCCGAUGGUGUCAACUACAGCCGACGUUGGUUGGGUUUGAUGGGAGUUAGAGUCCAACGCAUCCGGCUUUGGGGGGGGGGGGGGUCAGCUACUGAGAAUGGAAGAAAAUAUAAUGAUCUGGCAGACCCUCACUCUUCUUCCUCCCUUUCUUUUCUCUCCCCCCCCCCUUCUUCUUCACUUGAGUACAUCUUUAAGAGGAUGGACACAAGGGCCAAGUAUCGUUCCACUUUCUAAGAGAUUCACGCUGAAAAACAGAUAGAGAUAGAGACAGACCCCGCUUUUGCCUUUCCCCGACGAGUCCGCACACAGAUCUAACAACCACUUUAAAAGCGUAUGCAGCCGAAAACUGGGGCACGACUGGGGGGCUCCCGGGCACUCUUCGGCCGCUUUCCAAGGAGCCAGGUGGCUUCCACCUGAGCCUCGCUCGUGGAGCUGCCUCUGGCAGGGGAGCCCUUCCCUCUGUAGUGAAAGAGAGAGAGAGAGAGCGAGCGAGAGAGAGAGCCCUUUGGAAACGGAGGGAAGCUGUCUCAACCUAUUCUGCGCAGAUCGUGCUGCUGCUAAAAUAUUCCUGCAGACCAUUCUCCUCCAGCAAACGAGUCUGGAAAGACUCUUUGACCCUGCUUGCCUCGCCUGCUUGUUCACGUGGUCGUGUUUUCCUGCCACAUUCUCUUUUCUAAAUACAGUAGAGUCUCACUUAUCCAACACUCGCUUAUCCAACGUUCUGGAUUAUCCAACGCAUUUUUGUAGUCAAUGUUUUCAAUACAUCAUGAUACUUUGGUGCUAAAUUCGUAAAUACAGUAAUUACUACAUAGCAUUACUGCGUAUUGAACUACUUUUUCUGUCAAAUUUGUUGUAUAACAUUAUGUUUUGGUGCUUAAUUUGUAAAAUCAUAACCUAAUUUGAUGUUUAAUGGGCUUUUCCUUAAUGCCGCCUUAUUAUCCAACAUAUUCGCUUAUCCAACAUUCUGCCGGCCAGUUUAUGUUGGAUAAGAGAGACUCUACUGUAUAGUAUUUCAGGUUGUAUCUAUGUGUCCCAAAUAAGGGGGUGUCUUAAAAACCCCUAACUGAAACGAAAUUCUCUCUUACCUUUUGAGUAUCUCUUAUCCAAAAGGCUUAGAACCACAAGUGUUUUGGUCCCCCCUCCCCAAUAUUUUGGAAUAUCUGUAUUUGCAUAUGCAUACAUAAUGAGCUAUCUUGGAAAUGGGACCCAAAUCUAAACCGGAAAUUCCUAUGUUUCAUAUACACCUUGCACACAUAACCUGAAGACAAUUUUAUAUAAUAUUUGAAAAUUAUUUUGUGCAUGAAACUAAGUUUGUCUAUACUGAACUAUCAUAAAGCAAUACUGUCACUUUCUCUGUAACCCAUGUGGACAAUUUCACUAUGUAACAAAAUUUGAAAUAUUUUAUGUUCCCAGUUUGAAAGUGUUAUUGCAGUUUAAUAAACUUUUGCUAUGUUUUUA
This is a long non-coding RNA of Anolis carolinensis (green anole), 4277 nucleotides long. RefSeq lists it as uncharacterized. The record is from RefSeq and is a predicted model, not a curated record. NCBI's taxonomy places the organism in Eukaryota, Metazoa, Chordata, Lepidosauria, Squamata, Anolidae. The transcript has 2 exons.